UUUUUUGUUUUUGACUUUUACUUUAUUAUAUCUAUAAAGUCUUGCAAAAUAUGAUGUUUUUAUGAUCCUUUAGCCUGAGAAGGAGGAGGGGAAAUCAAGAAAAUCAGAAGACCUGAAACAUCAGUUUGGUGUGUAAGGGGUGAGAACACUGUUGCCGUUGGUGUCAGGCAGACAUGCAUGUGAUCUGCAGACUUCUGUUUCUAAAAAAACAUGAAAAAUGUAUUAAAGACAUGCUUAUAAAAUGUUGUUUGUCCCCCUCCUCCCCCCCGGGAUAGACAGUACAUGCUUGAUAGUGGAGAAAGGAUUGAAUUUGGUGACAUUUGAAUUGGGCUUCACAUGAUGGGCAAAACAUCACAGAGUGAAGUGUUAAGUCUGAGGUCAAAACAACGAUAAAGGCACCAAAUAAACCUUUCCUCCUCCUCCCAAUAAUGGGAGGCAAAGACAAGGAAAACUAGUAGAGGAACUGAAAAAGAAAUAGAAUAAAGCAAGAGUCUCCGAGGCUAAAGAUUAGCCUAUCUAUGAGAAGGGGAGGAAAGAAGCUGCAAUAAUGAUGGUGUCAUUGGGCUCUGGUGUGUGCCUAGAAGUCCUUGGGUGGCAUCUCCAAGUGUAAGACGUGAGGGAGAAGAUGGCAUCUGUCCAUGUGGAGGAUUCCAGGGAGCAGUUUCUGGAAGAAAUAUGAAGAGGGGAAGUGCCUUGGAGAGAAAGGCUGUGGACCAUGGGUAGAUAUUCCAUAACUGGUUCCAUUCAGCUCACCAUGUGGUGGGAAAGAGGCUCUUUGAUUGGCUACAGAGGUCUCCAAAAAAGGCCCAAGAAGUUCAGCUACCAUCUCCUUGUUCCAGCACUCUUCCUGCAGUAAUCAUUGUGCUCUGUAGGGUAGCCUAAAGGGCUUUAUAAGAGGGCUGUUAUGUCAUGAAAAUAUGGAAAGCUUUACUCUAACGGAUACAAAGUGAAAUAAAGUGAGCCAAGCAAACAAGGUACAAAUCCACUAUAGUGGAUUACACUAGAAGUGUAAGUGGAAAGAGCAGCCACAAAACAAUUGAAAAUGAAUGUUGUGAAAUUAUAAAGAACAAGCUCGGCCACAGGAAGACAUAGGAGAAGCUGUCUUCUGACCCCUGAUCCCUGCCUACUCCUCUGAAGAGGUGACAGUCUGUAAAGAAGGUUAAUCUGCAGGCACUGACCAUGCGAGUUUCCAAAGAUCAGGACACUGCACCUACAGGAAUCCCAGAGUGAUAGACCAUGCUGGGUUCUGCAACCAGUCAAGCACUGAUGCGCUCAGGAACAAAGAAUGACCUUUUAGACCCAAUCCAGCCACAAUAAGCUCCACCAUGCCAGCGUUCCUCCUUG
This is a non-coding RNA of Phascolarctos cinereus (koala), 1344 nucleotides long. Lineage: Eukaryota; Metazoa; Chordata; Mammalia; Diprotodontia; Phascolarctidae. The record is from RefSeq and is a predicted model, not a curated record.